RNAcentral lists this ribosomal RNA (354 nucleotides) under uncultured archaeon. RNAcentral's name for it is "bacterial SSU rRNA". It matches the Rfam family "Archaeal small subunit ribosomal RNA", at positions 347 to 701 of the family's 1478-position model. The record is from RNAcentral.
ACUUUACAAUGCUGGCAACAGCGAUAAGGGAACCUCGAGUGCCAGGUUACAAAUCUGGCUGUCGAGAUGCCUAAAAAGCAUUUCAUAGCAAGGGCCGGGCAAGACCGGUGCCAGCCGCCGCGGUAACACCGGCGGCUCGAGUGGUAACCGUUAUUAUUGGGUCUAAAGGGUCUGUAGCCGGCCGGAUAAGUCUCUUGAGAAAUCUGGCAGCUUAACUGUCAGGCUUUCAGAAGAUACUGUCUGGCUCGAGGCCGGGAGAGGUGAGAGGUACUUCGGGGGUAGGGGUGAAAUCUUGUAAUCCUUGAAGGCCCACCAGUGGCGAAGGCGUCUCACCAGAACGGACCUGACGGCAAG